Molecule: long non-coding RNA, 993 nt
Organism: Poeciliopsis prolifica (blackstripe livebearer)
Lineage: Eukaryota; Metazoa; Chordata; Actinopteri; Cyprinodontiformes; Poeciliidae
Exons: 3
Source: RefSeq, a predicted model, not a curated record
UUUUUUACAUUAACCUGACUUAAUUGUUUGGCUUUAGUUAUGUCAACUUACUUUCAUGAGUUCAAUUAACUUAAAAGACACACAUUUCAUCUAAAACAAACGGUUAACUUUGAGUUGACGUGAACCAAUUAAGUUGAAUGCAGUUUUACGUCUGACGUCAUUACGCAAGCUUUGCCCGAGACAGAUCCACUUCUUGUACCGACCGCUUGUGCAGCCGCCAUUUCUUCUGACCAUCGACUGUCCACCGGAUUGUAAAACAGCCUGGAGCCAAGCAUCAUCAGACCAUAGAAGAUUGCCAUGGCAAGUUCAAAACCUGCAAGACUGAAGGUGAUUCUAGGAGAGAGCAACACUGAAAAACUGACUCUUUCAAAUGGCAUACCAGAUUCUCUGGAUGAUCUUCUCAGCAAGGUGAAGGAUACCUUUGGUUUAAAGACCAACAUCAGACUGCAAUAUAUGGACAAAGACUUUGGUAAUGACUUCUUCAACCUCAGCUCAACUUCUGACCUUGUGGACUUGGGAACAGUCAAGGUGAUUCAAGAAGAAGCAGUUCAACCUUUUGUUGAUGUCAUUGAAACAGCUCCAUCUUCUUCUGCAGUUCACUCAGAUGACAGCAGUUCUUUAGCUUCAAAUGACACUAUACUCCUCUCCUCCCCUGAAUCCUUCUCAUCGCGAACAAAACAAUGGCCAGCCAACUUUCCCAUUCCCAUGUUUUCGUAUGACACUGAACGUCAGCUACAGAAGGGGAAUUCUGAGUAUCAGGCAAAAAACAAAAUAUUGACAGUCACCCCACGAAUGAAGACUGACAUCCUAAAUAGAUUAGUAGAAGAGAUCUACAGAUACAGAGCCUAUCCAGAGGACGCACAGUUCUGUGUAGUUGCAGAGGCCUUGAUUAAAAAACAUCCAUGUUUAAAAGAGCCUGGUUCAUUCAAUGGUUGCUACGGUUGGAAACAAAGGCUGAAGUACAAAAUGGGAAACUACAGGACUCUACUCAAG